AGAGUUUGAUCAUGGCUCAGAUUGAACGCUGGCGGCAGGCCUAACACAUGCAAGUCGAACGGUAACAGGAUAGCUUGCUAUCGCUGACGAGUGGCGGACGGGUGAGUAAUACUUAGGGAUCUGCCUCUGUGUGGGGGAUAACUAUUGGAAACGAUAGCUAAUACCGCAUAAUGUCUCCGGACCAAAGAGGGCUUUUAGCUCUCGCGCAGAGAGGAACCUAAGCGAGAUUAGCUAGUUGGUGAGGUAAAGGCUCACCAAGGCGACGAUCUCUAGCUGUUCUGAGAGGAAGAUCAGCCACACUGGAACUGAGACACGGUCCAGACUCCUACGGGAGGCAGCAGUGGGGAAUAUUGCACAAUGGGGGAAACCCUGAUGCAGCCAUGCCGCGUGUGUGAAGAAGGCCUUCGGGUUGUAAAGCACUUUCAGUUGUGAGGAAAGUUUAGUAGUUAAUACCUGCUAGAUGUGACGUUAGCAACAGAAGAAGCACCGGCUAACUCCGUGCCAGCAGCCGCGGUAAUACGGAGGGUGCGAGCGUUAAUCGGAAUUACUGGGCGUAAAGCGCACGCAGGCGGUCUGUUAAGCUAGAUGUGAAAGCCCCGCGCUCAACGUGGGAGGGUCAUUUAGAACUGGCAGACUAGAGUCUUGGAGAGGGGAGUGGAAUUCCAGGUGUAGCGGUGAAAUGCGUAGAGAUCUGGAGGAACAUCAAUGGCGAAGGCAACUCCCUGGCCAAAGACUGACGCUCAUGUGCGAAAGUGUGGGUAGCGAACAGGAUUAGAUACCCUGGUAGUCCACACCGUAAACGCUGUCUACUAGCUGUUUGUGGAUUUAAUCCGUGAGUAGCGAAGCUAACGCGAUAAGUAGACCGCCUGGGGAGUACGGCCGCAAGGUUAAAACUCAAAUGAAUUGACGGGGGCCCGCACAAGCGGUGGAGCAUGUGGUUUAAUUCGAUGCAAC
Molecule: ribosomal RNA, 954 nt
Filed under: uncultured Glaciecola sp.
Lineage: Bacteria; Pseudomonadati; Pseudomonadota; Gammaproteobacteria; Alteromonadales; Alteromonadaceae
Description: bacterial SSU rRNA
Rfam family: Bacterial small subunit ribosomal RNA
Source: RNAcentral